Molecule: ribosomal RNA, 826 nt
Filed under: Bacillus sp. Bsp3
Lineage: Bacteria; Bacillati; Bacillota; Bacilli; Caryophanales; Bacillaceae
Description: bacterial SSU rRNA
Rfam family: Bacterial small subunit ribosomal RNA
Source: RNAcentral
CCUAAUACAUGCAAGUCGAGCGGACAGAUGGGAGCUUGCUCCCUGAUGUUAGCGGCGGACGGGUGAGUAACACGUGGGUAACCUGCCUGUAAGACUGGGAUAACUCCGGGAAACCGGGGCUAAUACCGGAUGCUUGUUUGAACCGCAUGGUUCAAACAUAAAAGGUGGCUUCGGCUACCACUUACAGAUGGACCCGCGGCGCAUUAGCUAGUUGGUGAGGUAACGGCUCACCAAGGCAACGAUGCGUAGCCGACCUGAGAGGGUGAUCGGCCACACUGGGACUGAGACACGGCCCAGACUCCUACGGGAGGCAGCAGUAGGGAAUCUUCCGCAAUGGACGAAAGUCUGACGGAGCAACGCCGCGUGAGUGAUGAAGGUUUUCGGAUCGUAAAGCUCUGUUGUUAGGGAAGAACAAGUACCGUUCGAAUAGGGCGGYACCUUGACGGUACCUAACCAGAAAGCCACGGCUAACUACGUGCCAGCAGCCGCGGUAAUACGUAGGUGGCAAGCGUUGUCCGGAAUUAUUGGGCGUAAAGGGCUCGCAGGCGGUUCCUUAAGUCUGAUGUGAAAGCCCCCGGCUCAACCGGGGAGGGUCAUUGGAAACUGGGGAACUUGAGUGCAGAAGAGGAGAGUGGAAUUCCACGUGUAGCGGUGAAAUGCGUAGAGAUGUGGAGGAACACCAGUGGCGAAGGCGACUCUCUGGUCUGUAACUGACGCUGAGGAGCGAAAGCGUGGGGAGCGAACAGGAUUAGAUACCCUGGUAGUCCACGCCGUAAACGAUGAGUGCUAAGUGUUAGGGGGUUUCCGCCCCUUAGUGCUGCAGCUA